This 26-nucleotide non-coding RNA is filed under the name Macaca fascicularis (crab-eating macaque). Lineage: Eukaryota; Metazoa; Chordata; Mammalia; Primates; Cercopithecidae. The record is from RNAcentral. RNAcentral also lists the same sequence under 1 other name.
UGAACUUCAUGCUGACCAUUUCCUCC